CAACACUGCCUGAGACAGGAAUAACCAGGAAUUUUAAAACAAAAUUCCGGUUUUAACCACGUCUCACAUAGAGCUAUAACACAAGGGUUAAAUUUGUUAAUAAGAUAAAUUAAAUCAGAUUUGUUCUUCACUACGCUUCUGCAGUUCCAUUGUAGUACUUUGCCUAAACAUGUCCACCGGUACACCUCUUACGAGCCCCAUCCUGGUAACAUUAAAAGAUGGAAUAAAAGCUUCAUAACCUUUUCCAAUAAGGCAUGAUGUUUUAAGAAAGAAUUUGCAGCUGAGUGACUUGUGAAUGCCAUUGAAAUUUUGUUGCGACCGAUACGCUUCAAACUGCCUUGUACUAUGUUUGGCACCUGGUUUUAUACAAAAAUCUGCCAAAGCAUAUUGGAUGCAAAUUAAGAUCCUGUGUUACCUCUCCUGUACUAGACCUAGCAACAUGAAUAAUAAAUGGUGAAGCAUCCAA
RNAcentral lists this long non-coding RNA (466 nucleotides) under Manduca sexta (tobacco hornworm). RNAcentral's name for it is "uncharacterized LOC119190177, transcript variant X2". Lineage: Eukaryota; Metazoa; Arthropoda; Insecta; Lepidoptera; Sphingidae. The record is from RNAcentral.